This is a non-coding RNA of Gymnothorax javanicus (giant moray), 71 nucleotides long. The record is from the annotation of a GenBank genome assembly. NCBI's taxonomy places the organism in Eukaryota, Metazoa, Chordata, Actinopteri, Anguilliformes, Muraenidae.
GCUGAUCUAGCCUAGUGGUGAGGGUGAUGCACUUCACCUUCAGUGACCAGGGUUCAAAUCCUGGAUUGGCA